UUCACAGGACAAGGUCCGAGCCCGCCAAAGCCGGAGCAGCUCGAACCUGCGCCCCCCGGCGGCCGGCGCCAGGUGUGCUCAGGAUGAGGGUAAGCCUCAGACACAAAGUUUGCGCGCAGGGGACGCAGGAGUUGCCAGCACCCUACAAAUGGGACCGGUUCGGCAAUGCCCACGCUCAAAGAGUCCGGUGAUAACCGGCACCACAGGUGGCAGGGGAACCGAGCGCGGGUCGGGCUCUAGGAGAGACGGAGGCCCAGGCGCGCGCCGUUGGUAAAGGAGGCUUACGUCUGGGGCAGGCGAGGCUGCGCGGUCCUUCCAGAUGCCGGGCGUCCGCGACGCUGGCGCCGAGAAGCCGUGGACCCCCAAGGGGCUGGUUGCGUCGGCUCCUUCUGUAGCCUCCUCAGGCACCCGGGCGCCCCCGAGUCCCCUUGACGCGUGAGGGGCGCCGGGUGGAAGAGGGACAGUGAGGACGCUUCUCCAAGGGUCGUGGCAACGCCCCUGGGAAGGAGAGCUUGGUCUCCGUACCGAUCCGACAACUGCUCUCAAAGAAACCCUACCCACGACCCUGGGAGGGUCCUGGACGCUGGGCGACCCGGAUGGAGGACCGUGCGCCCGGGAACUGGUUGCGGGGUGCUGAGCGCGGGGCUGGGAAAGAUGAAGCUCACCGACGGCGCGUGAAGAAACUGCGUUUCCAAGACUGCCGGAGACUUUGCUGAGGCUGCAGGGAGCCGGGAGAACCCGAGCCCGCUUGCAUGAACCUAGCAAGCGGUUUGCUGCGGAGGGCACCCACUGGGUGGACUCUGCGGGCCAGCAACUCGGGGUCUUUCUGUCAUUCAGCGUCAAGGAGGGCACUGAAGAUGAGGAGGAACCUGAGUCUCACAGAAGUUAAAUAAUUGCCCAAGAUCUCACAACUAGAAAAGGGCAGAACCCGAAUUAGAGCCCAAUCUGGAACUAGACUGACCUCUUAACCUCUACCUUCAAUAGUACAAUUAUUAAGACAGUAAUGAAAAAUGCCCCCAAAGUUUACGGCCUAGAAUUACUGUGAAUUCAUUCAUUCACCCAUCAAAUAUUUACCGAGCACUGCAGUGGAUUGAAGAGUGUACCCUGCCAAAAUUAAUGUCCACCUGGAACCCAAAAAUAUAAUCUUCCUUGUUUGGAAAUAGGGUCUUUGUAGAGGUAACCAGGUAAAAUUUAAUUAUCCUGGAAUAGGGUGGGCCCUAAAUAGUGUUCUUUGAAGAGACAGAAAAAGAUACACAGACAUGGAAAAGAAGACCGUGUGGAGAUGGAGGCGACAUCAGAGUGACGUGUCUACGAACCGAGAAGUGCCAAGGAGAGACGCCCAGCACCAGAAGCUAGGAGAGGCAGGGAGUGGUCUCUGAGUCUCCAGAAGGAACCAACCCUGCUGAUACUUUGAUUUUGGACUUCUGGCCUCCUGAACUGUGAGAGGAUAAAUUUCUGUUGCUUCAA
Long non-coding RNA from Camelus dromedarius (Arabian camel), 1467 nucleotides. RefSeq lists it as uncharacterized. The transcript is spliced from 3 exons. The record is from RefSeq and is a predicted model, not a curated record. NCBI's taxonomy places the organism in Eukaryota, Metazoa, Chordata, Mammalia, Artiodactyla, Camelidae.